Molecule: long non-coding RNA, 1208 nt
Filed under: Homo sapiens (human)
Lineage: Eukaryota; Metazoa; Chordata; Mammalia; Primates; Hominidae
Description: HSALNT0374150
Source: RNAcentral
UGUUUCUUAGUUAACUAGCAAACAUUGAGUGAUUAUCCAUGGGCUGUAUUGCCCUGUACCAAAUGUCUGCUAAAAACAGAGUAAGAUGGAUUGAUGCCUUAUUUGAAUAAAUCCAGCAGACUUUAAAAAAUAUUCCAUGCAGAAAUUGUUUAUGCACAUUUAGCAGACAGAAUGGAAUUGAGGUAGUUUGUGCUCUUUUAAACUUAAAUAUAGAAUUAUCCCAGACUUUAAAAGCAAUAUAGUUAAAUAUCUCAACAGCAGAAAUCUAGUUACAUUCUUUUGAUAUUCCCAUUUCAAACCAGAGACUCUAUUGGAAUAUCAAGUCUUUUUUUUCAUCUCAGAGCAAUUUUCUACAAUUUUCUGGAUUCCAUUUCUUCUUUAUUUCUCUUUCUGAAUAUAGAUUAUUAUGACUCUGGAUUUUUUCUCCUUGUCUCCACUUGAGUUUUAUAAUCUCCAUAGUUUUGCAUAGAAUUUCCAUUCAGUGUUCUGGUAGAAUUGUAUGACUUGGUCUUCUAAUCACUAAUUUGUUCCUCAGUUGUGCUCAUUUGGCUUUUCAGCUCCUAAUAUGUUUCUUAUUUUGGCAACCAUGUUUUUCUUUUAUACUAACUCUUGUUCUCUGAUGAACAUUUUACAUAGCAGUGUUUUCUUAUGAUAUGUCAUAAUGGUUUGUGAUCCUAAUGUCUCAAAAGGGAGUCACUCAUGUCAAGCUGCAUUAAGCCCACAGUGAAGCUGCACCUGCCUCAAUGUGAUAAACAUACAUGUAAUGGACAGAGGUAAUAGCACCUGUUGUCACCAGGUACCACCGAAGACCUGGACUGAACCCAAUAGAAAGUGAAAAGUGGCUGAGGAUUAUAAAAGCAGCAAAGACCAGGCCUUCUCAGAGAUGCCUUUGGAGACUCUGCCCGGGUUGGGCCCAUCACAACUUCCAGGAUCAAUGCUGACAAACUUAAAAGAUGCAAGACACUCAACCCUGGACACUAAUAAACUCACUUUGAGGAGAUUUUGGAACUCUGAUGCCUAGAUAAGGAAACUGAAGCUCACGGAAGCUUAUGAUGCAAUACCAUCAACCGUGGAUAACAUCAUGAGACCCAUUCAAAAUGCCAUUAGUGAUGCUGGAAAUGCUCCCAAGAAGCAGAGAAAAGUCAUGACAUUACAAGAAAACGUUGGAUUGUUUGAUAAUAUGUACUGUAGAUCAUGAUCUGCAGCUG